AUUGAACGCUGGCGGUAUGCCUAACACAUGCAAGUCGAACGAGGUAGCAAUACCUAGUGGCGGACGGGUGAGGAAUACGUAGGGAUCUGCCCUUAAGUGGGGGAUAACCCGGGGAAACCCGGAUUAAUACCGCAUGAUCUCGCAAGAGCAAAGAGGGGGACCGCAAGGCCUCUCGCUUUUGGAGGAACCUACGUCGGAUUAGCUAGUUGGUGAGGUAAUGGCUCACCAAGGCGACGAUCCGUAACUGGUCUGAGAGGAUGAUCAGUCACCCCGGAACUGAGACACGGUCCGUACUCCUACGGGAGGCAGCAGUGGGGAAUAUUGGACAAUGGGCGAAAGCCUGAUCCAGCAAUACCGCGUGUGUGAAGAAGGCCUUCGGGUUGUAAAGCACUUUAAGUUGGGAAGAAAAAGCUUCACCUAAUACGUGAAGCCUUGACGGUACCGACAGAAUAAGCACCGGCUAACUCUGUGCCAGCAGCCGCGGUAAUACAGAGGGUGCUAGCGUUAAUCGGAUUUACUGGGCGUAAAGCGUGCGUAGGUGGUUUGAUAAGUCGAUUGUGAAAGCCCCGGGCUUAACCUGGGAAUUGCGGUCGAUACUGUCAGACUCGAAAACGGUAGAGGGAG
RNAcentral lists this ribosomal RNA (624 nucleotides) under uncultured bacterium. RNAcentral describes it as "bacterial SSU rRNA". It matches the Rfam family "Bacterial small subunit ribosomal RNA", at positions 28 to 660 of the family's 1533-position model. The record is from RNAcentral.